CUACGGGCGGCACCAGUGAGGAAUAUUGCACAAUGGGGGGAACCCUGAUGCAGCAACGCCGCGUGGAGGAUGACGCAUUUCGGUGUGUAAACUCCUUUUAUAUGUCAAGAAAAUGACGGUAGCAUAUGAAUAAGCACCGGCUAACUCCGUGCCAGCAGCCGCGGUAAUACGGAGGGUGCAAGCGUUACUCGGAAUCACUGGGCGUAAAGGACGCGUAGGCGGGUUGGAAAGUCAGGUGUGAAAUCCUACAGCUUAACUGUAGAACUGCACUUGAAACUUCUAAUCUAGAGUAUGGGAGGGGGAGAGGAAAUUUGUGGUGUAGGGGUAAAAUCCGAAAAUAUCACUAGGAAUACCGAGAGCGAAGGCGAUCCCCUGGAACAUUACGGACGCAACGGCGUGAAAGCGUGGGAAGCAAACAGGAUUAGAUACCCGCGUAGUC
Molecule: ribosomal RNA, 439 nt
Filed under: uncultured bacterium
Lineage: Bacteria
Description: partial 16S ribosomal RNA
Rfam family: Bacterial small subunit ribosomal RNA
Source: RNAcentral